CCCAACUAUCCCUAUUAAUCAUUACGUCAAUCCUAGAAACCAACAAAAUAGAAUCAUGCCGUCCUAUUUCGUUAUUCCAUGCUAAUCUAUUCAAGCAUAAAGCCUGCUUUAAACACUCUAAUUUUUUCAAAGUAACAGUCCUAGCUCCCUAUUACACCUAGUGAAAGGCAUAAUAGUUCACUAGAAGGUGGAGAUUGACAUUACCAGUACAUGUCCGAAAACACGACCGGUACGCUAAUCCCGAAAUUCAACUACGAGCUUUUUAACUGCAACAACUUUAAUAUACGCUAUUGGAGCUGGAAUUACCGCGGCUGCUGGCACCAGACUUGCCCUCCAA
Molecule: unclassified non-coding RNA, 337 nt
Filed under: uncultured Glomerales
Lineage: Eukaryota; Fungi; Glomeromycota; Glomeromycetes; Glomerales; Glomeraceae
Description: sequence contains 18S rRNA gene
Source: RNAcentral